GCGCGCGUGGCGGAAUUGGUAGACGCGCAUGAUUCAGGUUCAUGUGGGCGCAAGCCCGUGGAGGUUCGAUUCCUCUCGCGCGCACCA
This 87-nucleotide transfer RNA is filed under the name Verrucomicrobiales bacterium. Its description in RNAcentral is "tRNA-Leu". It matches the Rfam family "tRNA". Rfam says of the family: Transfer RNA (tRNA) molecules are approximately 80 nucleotides in length. Their secondary structure includes four short double-helical elements and three loops (D, anti-codon, and T loops). The record is from RNAcentral. RNAcentral also lists the same sequence under 2 other names. Lineage: Bacteria; Pseudomonadati; Verrucomicrobiota; Verrucomicrobiia; Verrucomicrobiales.